RNAcentral lists this ribosomal RNA (159 nucleotides) under uncultured bacterium. RNAcentral describes it as "partial 16S ribosomal RNA". It matches the Rfam family "Bacterial small subunit ribosomal RNA", at positions 355 to 506 of the family's 1533-position model. The record is from RNAcentral.
UGGGGAAUCUUAGACAAUGGGGGCAACCCUGAUCCAGCAAUGCCGCGUGCAGGAAGAAGGCCUUCGGGUUGUAAACUGCUUUUGUACGGAACGAAAAGGCUCUGGUUAAUACCUGGGGCUCAUGACGGUACCGUAAGAAUAAGCACCGGCUAACUACGU